This 253-nucleotide ribosomal RNA is filed under the name uncultured bacterium. RNAcentral describes it as "partial 16S ribosomal RNA". It matches the Rfam family "Bacterial small subunit ribosomal RNA", at positions 524 to 776 of the family's 1533-position model. The record is from RNAcentral.
UACGGAGGAUCCAAGCGUUAUCCGGAUUUAUUGGGUUUAAAGGGUGCGCAGGCGGAAUGAUAAGUCAGUGGUGAAAUCUUACGGCUCAACUGUAAAACUGCCAUUGAUACUGUCGUUCUUGAGUAUAGUUGAAGUGGGCGGAAUGUGUCAUGUAGCGGUGAAAUGCAUAGAUAUGACACAGAACACCGAUUGCGAAGGCAGCUCACUAAACUGUAACUGACGCUCAUGCACGAAAGCGUGGGGAGCAAACAGG